Molecule: unclassified non-coding RNA, 395 nt
Filed under: soil metagenome
Description: partial contains 5.8S ribosomal RNA, internal transcribed spacer 2, and large subunit ribosomal RNA
Rfam family: 5.8S ribosomal RNA (bases 1-122)
Source: RNAcentral
GAUGAAGAACGCAGCGAAAUGCGAUACUUGGUGUGAAUUGCAGAAUCCCGUGAACCAUCGAGUCUUUGAACGCAAGUUGCGCCCGAAGCCAUCAGGUUGAGGGCACGUCUGCCUGGGCGUCACAUAUCGUUGCCCAAUGCCUAUUGCAGUGCAAUAGGAAUUUCUAGGGCGAAUGAUGGCUUCCCGUGAGCGUUGUUGCCUCGCGGUUGGUUGAAAAUCGAGUCCUUGGUAGGGUGUGCCAUGGUAGAUGGUGGUCGAGUUAGAACGAUACCGAUCAUGUGCAUGCUCCCCAAAAUAUGGCCUCUAUGACCCACACGCGUCUUUUGACGCUCAUGACGAGACCUCAGGUCACGCGGGGCUACCCGCUGAAUUUAAGCAUAUCAAUAAGCGGAGGA